RNAcentral lists this microRNA precursor (64 nucleotides) under Strongylocentrotus purpuratus (purple sea urchin). RNAcentral describes it as "Spu-Mir-76_pre stem-loop". It matches the Rfam family "mir-981 microRNA precursor family", at positions 13 to 75 of the family's 86-position model. The record is from RNAcentral. Lineage: Eukaryota; Metazoa; Echinodermata; Echinoidea; Camarodonta; Strongylocentrotidae.
ACGGGUUUCGCUGAUAUCGCACAGUUCUUUUAAUGUCUCUGUUCGUUGUCAACGAAACCUGCGG